RNAcentral lists this transfer-messenger RNA (369 nucleotides) under Sphingobacteriaceae. Its description in RNAcentral is "Sphingobacterium sp011043525 Standard tmRNA". It matches the Rfam family "transfer-messenger RNA". From Rfam's summary of the family: Bacterial tmRNA, also known as 10Sa RNA or SsrA, is named for its dual tRNA and mRNA-like properties. Its role is to liberate the mRNA from a stalled ribosome. To accomplish this part of the tmRNA is used as a reading frame that ends in a translation stop signal. The record is from RNAcentral. Lineage: Bacteria; Pseudomonadati; Bacteroidota; Sphingobacteriia; Sphingobacteriales. RNAcentral also lists the same sequence under 1 other name.
GGGGUCGACCGGAAUAGACAGGAUAGCGAUGGUUAUGUAAGCAUGCAGUGCGUUGUUAGUAGAGCACUUUAAUCUGAACUUUCAACUUUAUAACUGGCGAAAAUAACUACGCCUUAGCUGCCUAAGUUAGACUUAGCAUAGCUAUUUGUCCCGUUAGAUCCUGUUCUUUGGUCUAACAUCAGGGGCAUCGAACAAUAGAACUGGCCGAUGUGAUGUUGCUAAGCAUUCGGUGAGAUACAGCAACUACGGAGAACGGUAUAGGUACGCGACUCACCUUCCCUCUCCCGACAAUUAAAGAGAAGCUAAGCAUGUAGAAAGCGUAAAUCAUACUAUGUUUGGACGAGGGUUCGAAUCCCUCCGACUCCACGA